This 420-nucleotide ribosomal RNA is filed under the name uncultured bacterium. RNAcentral describes it as "bacterial SSU rRNA". It matches the Rfam family "Bacterial small subunit ribosomal RNA", at positions 355 to 774 of the family's 1533-position model. The record is from RNAcentral.
UAAGGAAUAUUGCUCAAUGGGAGAAAUCCUGAAGCAGCAACGCCGCGUGGAGGAUGAAGGGUCUAUGACUUGUAAACUCCUGUAAAGAAGGAAAAAAUUCCCAUUAGAUGGGAGAUGAUGGUACUUCUGGAGUAAGCCCCGGCUAACUACGUGCCAGCAGCCGCGGUAAUACGUAGGGGGCAAGCGUUGUCCGGAUUUACUGGGUGUAAAGGGUGCUCAGGCGGAUUUGUAAGUCAGAGGUGAAAUCUUACAGCUUAACUGUGAAACUGUCUUUGAUACUGCAAGCCUAGAGUAUGGAAGAGAGUGAUGGAAUAUCUGGUGUAGCAGUGAAAUGCGUAGAUAUCAGAUAGAACACCAAUGGCGAAGGCAGUCACUUGGUCCAUUACUGACGCUAAAGCACGAAAGCGUGGGUAGCAAACA